Molecule: long non-coding RNA, 1360 nt
Organism: Fopius arisanus
Lineage: Eukaryota; Metazoa; Arthropoda; Insecta; Hymenoptera; Braconidae
Exons: 4
Source: RefSeq, a predicted model, not a curated record
UUUGUCAUUGACAGGUUGUGCUGCUGGUGGAAUUUCAUUUGAAUUUUUUUCGGUGAAUUGGGAUGGUGGAAAUUGUGGUGCCUUCGGACGAGAGGUGAAAAUACAGGCGGUCAGUUGUUGGUGUGUUGGUUUUUGUGUGCGCACAGACCAGGUGCGCAGAGCCUCCGGUUGCCGUCCGGUUAUUCUCAGAGGUUUACCCCACCCUUGGUAUUUACCUGGGGCACCAUGAGAUCACUCUCUCUCGCACUCGUUGGGAAUUCUGUCUGCCCGGUCUACCCUCUGGAAGGAAUUCUCGAGAAUUUAUCAGUGAGAGCACCUACAGCAUUGGGCUAAUGGUUUCCGGGGGUCGGGGGGUGGCAAUCAGGUGAUUGGACCUUCAGGGGAGGGAAUUUUUCAAAUUUCAUAUCACCAAAUGAAAAAACCACAAUAACAGUCUGAUGGGAACUGAAGAAACUCUUGAUUUUUUGAUGAAUUAUUGAUGACGACUUGCACCUAAUAACGGAAAAUAUUUACUCAAUCAUUUUGGUAAUCAUUGUUUUAUAAAUGGAGUCAGGGGGACAUAAAACAAUUGUGCAAUGAGGGGUCGAGAUUUUUCUUGUUGCAUGUACAAUUGUUUCUGCCUGACUGAUUUUAAGAGAUAAUUCCCAAAGACAUUCUUCAUUCUAAAAAAAAUCGUCAUAAAUCUCUGAAUCUCUUAAAAAACAUCAAGAGAUUUUAUUAGUUAAAAAAAUUCUGGACGUUUCUUUAGAUGAAGAUAUUCUCGAUGAAACAAGAUGAUUGCUUCUGUCAACAACUAGAGUGUAUUCACCUCUGGCUGUUGUCGAUUUAUCGAUAGAGACCAGAGGAAUCGCAAAUUUCUAUCUCUGAGGCCUGAGGCAACCCUAGAAUGGAUGAUUAUUUGCUCACGAGACCUCUUUCCCUCUGGUUCCCGUGAUAUCGAGAUAGAUAAACCGAGAGCAAAUCGACGGCGAUUGUAGUUUAUGUUAAAAACACUGAAAAUAUAUUUUUCAUCUGUUUUCUUGGAUUUCUCCACGAGAUUCGAUCAUACCUGUAGAAUAAUAUUUUACGCGCCAAAGGUUAUCGUGCUGAUAUUUAUUAUUGUUGCACACCUUGAGUGCGAGGUGUACAUCUUCUAGUAUUUAUUUUCAGAUGUAUGUGCCGUCAAUGAGUGAUGUGAAUAUGUUAUUUAGAUAAAUUAACACCUCCAGUUCGUCACGAGUGCAGGAUUUUCAUUCAAAUCCAACGCUAAUUAUCGGUUGACUAAUUUUUAUCCUUUCCUCACUUUCUUAGUGUACAUAUGCGGCAUUCCAUGUCAACUCGUGAAAUUUCAACCAUUUAUCAUUUUUUAUUUAUUUGCAAA